GACGAACGCUGGCGGCGUGCCUAAUACAUGCAAGUAGAACGCACAGUUUAUACCGUAGCUUGCUACACCAUAGACUGUGAGUUGCGAACGGGUGAGUAACGCGUAGGUAACCUGCCUGGUAGCGGGGGAUAACUAUUGGAAACGAUAGCUAAUACCGCAUAAUAUUAAUUAUUGCAUGAUAAUUAAUUGAAAGGUGCAAUUGCACCACUACCAGAUGGACCUGCGUUGUAUUAGCUAGUAGGUGAGGUAACGGCUCACCUAGGCGACGAUACAUAGCCGACCUGAGAGGGUGAUCGGCCACACUGGGACUGAGACACGGCCCAGACUCCUACGGGAGGCAGCAGUAGGGAAUCUUCGGCAAUGGACGAAAGUCUGACCGAGCAACGCCGCGUGAGUGAAGAAGGUUGUCGGAUCGUAAAGCUCUGUUGUAAGAGAAGAACGGGUGUGAGAGUGGAAAGUUCACACUGUGACGGUAUCUUACCAGAAAGGGACGGCUAACCACGUG
Molecule: ribosomal RNA, 505 nt
Filed under: uncultured bacterium
Lineage: Bacteria
Description: partial 16S ribosomal RNA
Rfam family: Bacterial small subunit ribosomal RNA
Source: RNAcentral